This 491-nucleotide ribosomal RNA is filed under the name uncultured bacterium. RNAcentral's name for it is "partial 16S ribosomal RNA". It matches the Rfam family "Bacterial small subunit ribosomal RNA", at positions 29 to 506 of the family's 1533-position model. The record is from RNAcentral.
AGUGAACGCUGGCGGUAGGCCUAACACAUGCAAGUCGAACGGCAGCACAGUAAGAGCUUGCUCUUACGGGUGGCGAGUGGCGGACGGGUGAGGAAUACAUCGGAAUCUACUUUUUCGUGGGGGAUAACGUAGGGAAACUUACGCUAAUACCGCAUACGACCUACGGGUGAAAGCAGGGGAUCUUCGGACCUUUCGCGAUUGAAUGAGCCGAUGUCGGAUUAGCUAGUUGGCGGGGUAAGGGCCCACCAAGGCGACGAUCCGUAGCUGGUCUGAGAGGAUGAUCAGCCACACUGGAACUGAGAAACGGCCCAGACUCUUACGGGAGGCAGCAGUGGGGAAUAUUGGACAAUGGGCGCAAGCCUGAUCCAGCCAUACCGGGUGGGUGAAGAAGGCCUUCGGGUUGUAAAGCCCUUUUGUUGGGAAAGAAAAGCAGCAGGUUAAUACCCCGCUGUUCUGACGGUACCAAAAGAAUAAGCACCGGCUACUUUCGG